AGAAUUGACGGGACCCGACACAAGCGGUGGAUGAUGUGGUUAAUUCGAUGCAACGCGAAAACCUUACCACCUUGACAUGUACGGAAUCCUUUAGAGAUAGAGGAGUGACUCGAAAGAGAGCCGUAACACAGGUGCUGCAUGGCUGUCGUCAGCUCGUGUCGUGAGAUGUUGGGUUAAGUCCCGCAACGAGCGCAACCCUUGUCAUUAGUUGCUACAUUCAGUUGGGCACUCUAAUGAGACUGCCGGUGACAAACCGGAGGAAGGUGGGGAUGACGUCAAGUCCUCAUGGCCCUUAUAGGUGGGGCUACACACGUCAUACAAUGGAUGGUACAAAGGGUCGCCAACCCGCGAGGGGGAGCCAAUCCCAUAAAGCCAUUCGUAGUCCGGAUCGCAGUCUGCAACUCGACUGCGUGAAGUCGGAAUCGCUAGUAAUCGUGGAUCAGAAUGUCACGGUGAAUACGUUCCCGGGUCUU
Molecule: ribosomal RNA, 473 nt
Filed under: uncultured Acidovorax sp.
Lineage: Bacteria; Pseudomonadati; Pseudomonadota; Betaproteobacteria; Burkholderiales; Comamonadaceae
Description: bacterial SSU rRNA
Rfam family: Bacterial small subunit ribosomal RNA
Source: RNAcentral